Molecule: unclassified non-coding RNA, 225 nt
Filed under: Glomus sp.
Lineage: Eukaryota; Fungi; Glomeromycota; Glomeromycetes; Glomerales; Glomeraceae
Description: partial contains 5.8S ribosomal RNA and internal transcribed spacer 2
Rfam family: 5.8S ribosomal RNA (bases 1-65)
Source: RNAcentral
GUGAAUCAUCAAAUUUUUGAACGCAAAUUGCACUCUCUUCGGUGAGUAUGCCUGUUUGAGGGUCAGCCUCAGUAGAUUCGACAUCGUCGCUGUUUCGCGGUGAUAUUCGUCGGAAAUUGGGUUAUCUUAUACCUUUUGUUUUUAAGCGGCUUACAAUUUUCUUUACGAUUCUACUAACGUUUUUAAGAUUUAUUUACACGUUUAAGGUAUCGAACUCUAUCAGCC